RNAcentral lists this ribosomal RNA (397 nucleotides) under uncultured bacterium. Its description in RNAcentral is "partial 16S ribosomal RNA". It matches the Rfam family "Bacterial small subunit ribosomal RNA", at positions 523 to 918 of the family's 1533-position model. The record is from RNAcentral.
AUACGUAGGUGACAAGCGUUAUCCGGAUUUACUGGGCGUAAAGGGCGUGUAGGCGGUCUUGCAAGUCAGAAGUGAAAUUCCUGAGCUCAACUCGGGCGCUGCUUCUGAAACUGCAGGACUUGAGUGCUGGAGGGGAUAGCGGAAUUCCUAGUGGAGCGGUAAAAUGCGCAGAUAUUAGGAAGAACACCGGUGGCGAAGGCGGCUUACUGGGCUUUUACUGACGCUGAGGCUCGAAAGCGUGGGGAGCAAACAGGAUUAGAUACCCUGGUAGUCCACGCUGUAAACGAUGAUUACUAGGUGUAGGGGGUAUCGACCCCUUCUGUGCCGCAGUCAACACAAUAAGCAUUCCGCCUGGGGAGUACGGCCGCAAGGUUGAAACUCAAAUGAAUUGGCGGGG